GAUGAACGCUGGCGGCGUGCCUAAUACGUGCAAGUCGAGCGCGAGAGUGAGGAGCUUGCUCCUCAUGAUCGAGCGGCGGACGGGUGAGUAACACGUAGGCAACCUACCCUUGAGAUUGGGAUAACUACCGGAAACGGUAGCUAAUACCGGAUACGACUUUUCCACAUAAGUGGAAUGGUUAAAAGGCGGAUUUAUCUGCAGCUCAUGGAUGGGCCUGCGGUGCAUUAGCUAGUUGGUGAGGUAGUGGCUCACCAAGGCGACGAUGCAUAGCCGACCUGAGAGGGUGAUCGGCCACACUGGGACUGAGACACGGCCCAGACUCCUACGGGAGGCAGCAGUAGGGAAUCUUCCGCAAUGGACGAAAGUCUGACGGAGCAACGCCGCGUGAGUGAUGAAGGGUUUCGGCUCGUAAAACUCUGUUGUUAAGGAAGAACACUUGAGGUAGUAACUGGCCUUGAGAUGACGGUACUUAACCAGAAAGCCACGGCUAACUACGUGCCAGCCGCCGCAGUAA
This 514-nucleotide ribosomal RNA is filed under the name uncultured bacterium. Its description in RNAcentral is "partial 16S ribosomal RNA". It matches the Rfam family "Bacterial small subunit ribosomal RNA", at positions 28 to 523 of the family's 1533-position model. The record is from RNAcentral.